RNAcentral lists this ribosomal RNA (279 nucleotides) under uncultured bacterium. Its description in RNAcentral is "partial 16S ribosomal RNA". It matches the Rfam family "Bacterial small subunit ribosomal RNA", at positions 506 to 784 of the family's 1533-position model. The record is from RNAcentral.
UGCCAGCCGCCGCGGUAAUACGGAGGGUGCGAGCGUUAAUCGGAAUCACUGGGCGUAAAGCGUACGUAGGCGGCGUAUCAAGUCAGGCGUGAAAGCCCUCGGCUCAACCGAGGAAUUGCGUUUGAAACUGUUGAACUUGAGUGCAGGAGAGGUAAGUGGAAUUCCUAGUGUAGAGGUGAAAUUCGUAGAUAUUAGGAGGAACACCAGUGGCGAAGGCGACUUCCUGGACUAUUACUGACACUGAGGAGCGAAAGCGUGGGGAGCAAACAGGAUUAGAUA